Molecule: ribosomal RNA, 253 nt
Filed under: uncultured bacterium
Lineage: Bacteria
Description: partial 16S ribosomal RNA
Rfam family: Bacterial small subunit ribosomal RNA
Source: RNAcentral
UACAGAGGUGGCAAGCGUUGUUCGGAAUUACUGGGCGUAAAGGGCGCGUAGGCGGUCUUUUAAGUCUUGUGUGAAAUCCCUCGGCUCAACUGAGGAACUGCACGGGAUACUGGAAGACUUGAGUUCGGGAGAGGGAAGCGGAAUUCCGGGUGUAGCGGUGAAAUGCGUAGAGAUGUGGAGGAACACCAGUGGCGAAGGCGACUCUCUGGUCUGUAACUGACGCUGAGGAGCGAAAGCGUGGGGAGCGAACAGG